Molecule: ribosomal RNA, 793 nt
Filed under: Paenibacillus sp. CSu4_11
Lineage: Bacteria; Bacillati; Bacillota; Bacilli; Caryophanales; Paenibacillaceae
Description: bacterial SSU rRNA
Rfam family: Bacterial small subunit ribosomal RNA
Source: RNAcentral
UCGAGCGCGGGAAGCAGGCAGAUCCUCUUCGGAGGUGACGCCUGUGGAACGAGCGGCGGACGGGUGAGUAACACGUGGGCAACCUGCCUGUAAGAUUGGGAUAACCCCGGGAAACCGGGGCUAAUACCGGAUAAUACUUUUCGUUGCAUAACGAGAAGUUGAAAGGCGGCUUUUAGCUGUCACUUACAGAUGGGCCCGCGGCGCAUUAGCUAGUUGGUAAGGUAACGGCUUACCAAGGCGACGAUGCGUAGCCGACCUGAGAGGGUGAUCGGCCACACUGGGACUGAGACACGGCCCAGACUCCUACGGGAGGCAGCAGUAGGGAAUCUUCCGCAAUGGACGAAAGUCUGACGGAGCAACGCCGCGUGAGUGAUGAAGGUUUUCGGAUCGUAAAACUCUGUUGUCAGGGAAGAACAAGUGCCGUUCAAAUAGGGCGGCACCUUGACGGUACCUGACCAGAAAGCCCCGGCUAACUACGUGCCAGCAGCCGCGGUAAUACGUAGGGGGCAAGCGUUGUCCGGAAUUAUUGGGCGUAAAGCGCGCGCAGGCGGUCCUUUAAGUCUGAUGUGAAAGCCCACGGCUUAACCGUGGAGGGCCAUUGGACACUGGAGGACUUGAGUACAGAAGAGGAGAGUGGAAUUCCACGUGUAGCGGUGAAAUGCGUAGAGAUGUGGAGGAACACCAGUGGCGAAAGCGACUCUCUGGUCUGUAACUGACGCUGAGGUGCGAAAGCGUGGGGAGCGAACAGGAUUAGAUACCCUGGUAGUCCACGCCGUAAACGAUGAGUGCUAGG